This 253-nucleotide ribosomal RNA is filed under the name uncultured bacterium. RNAcentral describes it as "partial 16S ribosomal RNA". It matches the Rfam family "Bacterial small subunit ribosomal RNA", at positions 524 to 776 of the family's 1533-position model. The record is from RNAcentral.
UACGUAGGGGUCGAGCGUUGUCCGGAUUUAUUGGGCGUAAAGAGCCCGCAGGCGGCUUGGCAAGUUUGGGGUGAAAUCUCCCGGCUCAACUGGGAGGGUGCCCUGAAAACUGUCAGGCUUGAGUCAUGGAGAGGGAUGUGGAAUUCCAGGUGUAGUGGUGAAAUGCGUAGAUAUCAGGAAGAACACCCGUGGCGAAGGCGGUUCUCUGGAACGCAACUGACGCUGAGACGCGAAAGCGUGGGGAGCAAACAGG